Molecule: ribosomal RNA, 446 nt
Filed under: uncultured bacterium
Lineage: Bacteria
Description: partial 16S ribosomal RNA
Rfam family: Bacterial small subunit ribosomal RNA
Source: RNAcentral
CCUACGGGUGGCAGCAGUCGAGAAUCAUUCACAAUGGGGGAAACCCUGAUGGUGCGACGCCGCGUGGGGGAAUGAAGGUCUUCGGAUUGUAAACCCCUGUCAUGUGGGAGCAAAUUAAAAAGAUAGUACCACAAGAGGAAGAGACGGCUAACUCUGUGCCAGCAGCCGCGGUAAUACAGAGGUCUCAAGCGUUGUUCGGAAUCACUGGGCGUAAAGCGUGCGUAGGCUGUUUCGUAAGUCGUGUGUGAAAGGCGCGGGCUCAACCCGCGGACGGCACAUGAUAAUGCGAGACGAGAGGAAUGGAGGGGGAACCGGAAUUCGCGGUGUAGCAGUGAAAUGCGUAGAUAUCGAGAGGAACACUCGUGGCGAAGGCGGGUUCCUGGACAUUAACUGACGCUGAGGCACGAAGGCCAGGGGAGCGAAAGGGAUUAGAUACCCCGGUAGUC